GACGAACGCUGGCGGCGUGCUUAACACAUGCAAGUCGAACGGAAAGGCCCUGCUUUUGUGGGGUGCUCGAGUGGCGAACGGGUGAGUAACACGUGAGUAACCUGCCCUUGACUUUGGGAUAACUUCAGGAAACUGGGGCUAAUACCGGAUAGGAGCUCCUGCUGCAUGGUGGGGGUUGGAAAGUCUCGGCGGGUGGGGAUGGACUCGCGGCUUAUCAGCUUGUUGGUGGGGUAGUGGCUUACCAAGGCUUUGACGGGUAGCCGGCCUGAGAGGGUGAACGGCCACAUGGGGACUGAGAUACGGCCCAGACUCCUACGGGAGGCAGCAGUGGGGAAUAUUGCACAAUGGGCGGAAGCCUGAUGCAGCAACGCCGCGUGCGGGAUGACGGCCUUCGGGUUGUAAACCGCUUUCGCCUGUGACGAAGCGUGAGUGACGGUAAUGGGUAAAGAAGCACCGGCUAACUACGUG
Molecule: ribosomal RNA, 468 nt
Filed under: uncultured bacterium
Lineage: Bacteria
Description: partial 16S ribosomal RNA
Rfam family: Bacterial small subunit ribosomal RNA
Source: RNAcentral